UUUUUUUAAAAUAAAUUACAAUAAUAUUAGAAAAAUAUGGAAUUAAAUUACAAAUUAAAACACCAAUUUGUUAAUAAUAUAAUACGGGUAAUAUAAAAUUUUUUUAAAUUUAAAAUGGCGUUUGUAAAUACGAAAAAAAAUCGUUCGAAAAAUUGUAUAACCAAUUCCGCCGGUUAAUAACGAUUGAAAAUAAACCACCGUCUAACGGCCAAUAUUUGGUAAAUCGCCGGUACCAAAUAUUAAUUCGAAAUAAACAAUUACGUUAUAAAAAAAUCGAAAUCCAAUAUAUUAAUUAAAUUUAAUACCAAAUUUGAAAAUAAUAAAAUUUGCAAAAAAGGAGGAUAUUAUAUUUAUAAAAAAAAGGAUUGCAAAUCCUGGAAAUAUUCCAGGGAAAAAUAACGUGCUGAAAAAAAAAAUUGGAAACGCGAAUAAAAAAAACGCGGCCAAAAUGGCCGUAAAUAUCGCACGUAUAUACAAAAUAUAAAAAAGUUUAAAAAAAACCAAUUUAGCAAUAAUUUCGAACUAUUUAAAACCGAAUUGGACGGUUUAUAUUACGAAAAAUUACCUGUAACGAAUUAUUAUAUAAUAAAAUAAAGGGCAAAAUUAUUAACCGACGAAACCUUCGUCCACAAAUUCCCAAAAAUUCGCGAAUACGGCGCAAAACCGUUAUUUGCGGUUUACAAAUAUAACGCAAAAUUUCCAAAAAUUCGCGAAUAUAAUAAAAAACCGUUAUUUGCACCCUACAAAUAUAAUAUAUAACCACCAAAAAUUCGCGAAUAUAAUAUAAAACCGUUACUUAUAACCUACAAUUACAAUAUAAAAUUUCCAAAAAUUCGCAAAUAUAAUUCGGUUAUGGGCGAUAAUCGUUUAAAAUAAACGUUUUUAUUAAAUUAUAUUAAAUGGAAAGGUUUUUUUCCGGAUAUUGGUGCAACGGAAUAUUUUACGGCGGAAUUUAAACAAUUUGUUAUUUUAAAACGCUAUAACCCAAAAUUAUAUAUGGAUAAAUAACGCGCCGGAAAAACAUAUAUUUGUUUUAAUUAAAAUAA
This 1046-nucleotide small RNA is filed under the name Pyricularia oryzae. RNAcentral's name for it is "Magnaporthe oryzae sRNA M_BR32_EuGene_00147181". The record is from RNAcentral. Lineage: Eukaryota; Fungi; Ascomycota; Sordariomycetes; Magnaporthales; Pyriculariaceae.